Trichosurus vulpecula (common brushtail) is the source of this 246-nucleotide long non-coding RNA. RefSeq lists it as uncharacterized. The record is from RefSeq and is a predicted model, not a curated record. The transcript has 3 exons. NCBI's taxonomy places the organism in Eukaryota, Metazoa, Chordata, Mammalia, Diprotodontia, Phalangeridae.
GCAGAGUGAGGUGCGUGGAGGAGCAAGAUUCCUUACCCACAGGUCAAUGUGAAAAAUCUAUCUUGAAGAUAACAAAAGCAUGGCCCCAAGGAAGAGGAAGGAAGAAAAAACAAGCCUUUAGAGGAGAGAGCCAUCCCACUCCUCCACAGAGAUGGAAAGUCAAAGGGAAGAGUCCAGCUGGAGUAUAUUUGAAAAUGACUGAUGUAAAAUCCAGAGGCAUGAAUACCACUUUUGAAAGAAAGAAAC